GGGGAUUUGGCUCAGUGGUAGAGCACUUGCUUAGCAAGCACAAGGCCCUGGGUUCGAUCCCCAGCUCCG
This 69-nucleotide transfer RNA is filed under the name Rattus norvegicus (Norway rat). It matches the Rfam family "tRNA". Rfam says of the family: Transfer RNA (tRNA) molecules are approximately 80 nucleotides in length. Their secondary structure includes four short double-helical elements and three loops (D, anti-codon, and T loops). Lineage: Eukaryota; Metazoa; Chordata; Mammalia; Rodentia; Muridae. The record is from Rfam by way of RNAcentral.